AUUAGGAAGACAUUGGCCAUUCCCCAGUCUGGCUAUUCACUGACAAAAUCACUGAUACUUGCUGUCUGUAUAUGGUGCACGCCAUAGUUGGAAAACUCUCUGCUUACGAGGCUGGAUGAGGACACCUUGUACUGUGCAAAGACGUGGAACAAACGAUACACGCCAGGACUGCAUGCACAAUGCAGGAAGCAUUGUUGUGCUAUGGAGACAGGAAGAUCAGAAAUGUGGGGAGAACAAGGUUUUGGCCAUUGUGAUGGACAGUGCUGCAUAUAUGCUGAAGGCCGCAGAGUGUCUCCGUGUGUUUUACCCUAAAAUUAUUCACCUCACGUGUCUGGGUCAUGGCAUCCAUCGAGUUGCUGAAGAGGUCAGAACCACAUUGCCAGAGGUCAACAGCCUUAUAUCUUCGGCAAAGAAGGUUUUCAUCAAGGCACCAAAUAGAGUGAGAGCUUAGAAGGCUGCUCUCCCUGACUGUCCUCUGCUACCUGAGCCAGUCUUGACGAGGUGGGGAACAUGGAUUUCAGCUGCAAACUAUUUUGCAGACAACCACAGAAAAGUUGAAGAGGCCCUAAAGGGCUUUGAAGAUAUCGAAAAUUUAGCCAUACGAAAAGCCAAGGAUGCCCUGAAGAAUUCCAAAGUGUUACACAGCCUAUCUUCCAUCUGAGUGCAAUUGGGUGGCCUUCCAGACCUAACUGAGAAACUUGAGACUCUUAACAUGGAAGAUACUAAGGCAGUGGCUCUCGUCGAAGGACUCAGGACACAGAGCAAGAGUUGGCCAGGUCAGAUUGGUGAGAGACUGAAAAUGUUGUUAUCUGACCACAGCAAAAUUUUCAUGUAGAUAAUAUGGAAAAAA
Long non-coding RNA from Schistocerca americana (American grasshopper), 850 nucleotides. RefSeq lists it as uncharacterized. The record is from RefSeq and is a predicted model, not a curated record. The transcript is spliced from 3 exons. NCBI's taxonomy places the organism in Eukaryota, Metazoa, Arthropoda, Insecta, Orthoptera, Acrididae.